Molecule: ribosomal RNA, 301 nt
Filed under: uncultured bacterium
Lineage: Bacteria
Description: partial 16S ribosomal RNA
Rfam family: Bacterial small subunit ribosomal RNA
Source: RNAcentral
CAGUCGCCACGGUAAUACGGAGGGAGCUAGCGUUGUUCGGAAUCACUGGGCGUAAAGCGCACGUAGGCGGCUAUUCAAGUCAGGGGUGAAAGCCCGGGGCUCAACCCCGGAACUGCCUUUGAAACUAGAUAGCUUGAAUCUUGGAGAGGCGAGUGGAAUUCCGAGUGUAGAGGUGAAAUUCGUAGAUAUUCGGAAGAACACCAGUGGCGAAGGCGACUCGCUGGACAAGUAUUGACGCUGAGGUGCGAAAGCGUUGGGAGCAAACAGGAUUAGAUACCCGUGUAGUCCCUGUCUCUUAUAC